This 484-nucleotide ribosomal RNA is filed under the name uncultured bacterium. RNAcentral's name for it is "partial 16S ribosomal RNA". It matches the Rfam family "Bacterial small subunit ribosomal RNA", at positions 30 to 507 of the family's 1533-position model. The record is from RNAcentral.
AUUGAACGCUGGCGGCAGGCCUAACACAUGCAAGUCGAGCGGAUGAAGGGAGCUUGCUCCUGGAUUCAGCGGCGGACGGGCGAGUAAUGCCUAGGAAUCUGCCUGGCAGUGGGGGAUAACGUCCGGAAACGGGCGCUAAUACCGCAUACGUCCUGAGGGAGAAAGUGGGGGAUCUUCGGACCUCACGCUAUCAGAUGAGCCUAGGUCGGAUUAGCUAGUUGGUGGGGUAAAGGCCUACCAAGGCGACGAUCCGUAGCUGGUCUGAGAGGAUGAUCAGUCACACUGGAACUGAGACACGGUCCAGACUCCUACGGGAGGCAGCAGUAGGGAAUAUUCGGCAAUGGGCGAAAGCCUGAUGCAGCCAUGCCGCGUGAGUGAUGAAGGUCUUCGGAUUGUAAAGCACUUUAAUUAGGGAAGAAGAACAGUGAGUGAAAACCUUGCUGUUUUGACGUUACCAACAGAAAAAGCACCGGCUAACUUCGUG